AGAGUUUGAUCCUGGCUCAGAUUGAACGCUGGUGGCAUGCUUAACACAUGCAAGUCGAACGGUAGGGACUUCGGUCCUGAGAGUGGCGGACGGGUGAGUAACACGUAGGAAUCUGCCUGAUAGUGGGGGAUAACCCGGGGAAACUCGGGCUAAUACCGCAUACGCUCCACGGAGGAAAGCGGGGGAUCUUCGGACCUCGCGCUAUCAGAUGAGCCUGCGUCCGAUUAGCUAGUUGGCGGGGUAAGAGCCCACCAAGGCGACGAUCGGUAGCUGGUCUGAGAGGACGAUCAGCCACACUGGAACUGAGACACGGUCCAGACUCCUACGGGAGGCAGCAGUGGGGAAUAUUGGACAAUGGGCGCAAGCCUGAUCCAGCAAUGCCGCGUGUGUGAAGAAGGCCUGCGGGUUGUAAAGCACUUUAAGCAGGAAAGAAGGCUCCAAGGCCAAUACCCUUGGAGAUUGACGUUACCUGCAGAAUAAGCACCGGCUAACUCCGUGCCAGCAGCCGCGGUAAUACGGAGGGUGCGAGCGUUAAUCGGAAUUACUGGGCGUAAAGCGCGCGUAGGCGGUCCGUUAAGUCAGCCGUGAAAGCCCCGGGCUUAACCUGGGAACUGCGGAUGAUACUGGCGGACUAGAGUGUGGCAGAGGGUGGCGGAAUUUCCGGUGUAGCAGUGAAAUGCGUAGAGAUCGGAAGGAACACCAGUGGCGAAGGCGGCCAUCUGGGCCAACACUGACGCUGAGGUGCGAAAGCGUGGGGAGCAAACAGGAUUAGAUACCCUGGUAGUCCGCGCCGUAAACGAUGAGAACUAGCCGUUGGGCACGAUUUGGUGCUUAGUGGCGCAGCUAACGCGAUAAGUUCUCCGCCUGGGGAGUACGGCCGCCAAGGUUAAAACUCAAAGGAAUUGACGG
This 909-nucleotide ribosomal RNA is filed under the name uncultured bacterium. RNAcentral describes it as "bacterial SSU rRNA". It matches the Rfam family "Bacterial small subunit ribosomal RNA", at positions 8 to 916 of the family's 1533-position model. The record is from RNAcentral.